RNAcentral lists this transfer RNA (69 nucleotides) under Ictidomys tridecemlineatus (thirteen-lined ground squirrel). RNAcentral's name for it is "Spermophilus tridecemlineatus (thirteen-lined ground squirrel) tRNA". It matches the Rfam family "tRNA". Rfam says of the family: Transfer RNA (tRNA) molecules are approximately 80 nucleotides in length. Their secondary structure includes four short double-helical elements and three loops (D, anti-codon, and T loops). The record is from Rfam by way of RNAcentral. Lineage: Eukaryota; Metazoa; Chordata; Mammalia; Rodentia; Sciuridae.
GGGGUUGUGGCUCAGUGGUAGAGCACUUGUCUAGCAUGUCUGAGGCCCUGGGUUCAAACCUCAGCACCA